CCUACGGGGGGCAGCAGUGGGGAAUAUUGCACAAUGGGCGCAAGCCUGAUGCAGCCAUGCCGCGUGUGUGAAGAAGGCCUUCGGGUUGUAAAGCACUUUCAGCGGGGAGGAAGGCGGUGAGGUUAAUAACCUCAUCGAUUGACGUUACCCGCAGAAGAAGCACCGGCUAACUCCGUGCCAGCAGCCGCGGUAAUACGGAGGGUGCAAGCGUUAAUCGGAAUUACUGGGCGUAAAGCGCACGCAGGCGGUCUGUCAAGUCGGAUGUGAAAUCCCCGGGCUCAACCUGGGAACUGCAUUCGAAACUGGCAGGCUAGAGUCGUGUAGAGGGGGGUAGAAUUCCAGGUGUAGCGGUGAAAUACGUAGAGAUCUGGAGGAAUACCGGUGGCGAAGGCGGCCCCCUGGACAAAGACUGACGCUCAGGUGCGAAAGCGUGGGGAGCAAACAGGAUUAGAUACCCGAGUAGUC
Molecule: ribosomal RNA, 465 nt
Filed under: uncultured Klebsiella sp.
Lineage: Bacteria; Pseudomonadati; Pseudomonadota; Gammaproteobacteria; Enterobacterales; Enterobacteriaceae
Description: bacterial SSU rRNA
Rfam family: Bacterial small subunit ribosomal RNA
Source: RNAcentral